CCUACGGGAGGCUGCAGUCGAGAAUCAUUCACAAUGGGGGAAACCCUGAUGGUGCGACGCCGCGUGGGGGAAUGAAGGUCUUCGGAUUGUAAACCCCUGUCAUGUGGGAGCAAAUUAAAAAGAUAGUACCACAAGAGGAAGAGACGGCUAACUCUGUGCCAGCAGCCGCGGUAAUACAGAGGUCUCAAGCGUUGUUCGGAAUCACUGGGCGUAAAGCGUGCGUAGGCUGUUUCGUAAGUCGUGUGUGAAAGGCGCGGGCUCAACCCGCGGACGGCACAUGAUACUGCGAGACUAGAGUAAUGGAGGGGGAACCGGAAAUCUCGGGGUAGCAGUGAAAUGCGGAGAUAUCGAGAGGAACACUCGGGGCGAAGGCGGGUUCCUGGACAUUAACUGACGCUGAGGCACGAAGGCCAGGGGAGCGAAAGGGAUUAGAUACCCCAGUAGUC
RNAcentral lists this ribosomal RNA (446 nucleotides) under uncultured bacterium. RNAcentral's name for it is "partial 16S ribosomal RNA". It matches the Rfam family "Bacterial small subunit ribosomal RNA", at positions 338 to 795 of the family's 1533-position model. The record is from RNAcentral.